GCUCUUUGUAAUAAACAAUUUUAUAAAAUAAAGAGUCGGACCUGCCCGGUGACUUAUAGUUAAACGGCCGCGGUACCCUGACCGUGCAAAGGUAGCAUAAUCACUUGCCUUUUAAUUGGAGGCUUGUAUGAAUGGUUUGACGAGAACUGAGCUGUCUCCUUNNAAAUAUUUAAAAAUUAACUUUUAGGUGAAGAGGCCUAAAUUUGUCUAANGGACAAGAAGACCCUAUUGAGCUUUAGUGACAUUAAUUGAAUUGUUACGUAAUAAAAUUAUUUAAUUUUGAUUGCAUUUAUUUGUAAAUUAAAUUUAUUAUUAAUCUUUAGUUGGGGCGACUGAGGAACUGAAAAAGCUUCCUUAAAUGAUUUUGUUUAUAUUGAAUAGACAUACUAGUAAUUAGGAUCCAAUAUUAUUAAUAUUGAUUAAAGGAAAAAGUUACCAUAGGGAUAACAGCGUAAUCUUUCUGGAGAGUUCUUAUCGAAAGAAGGGUUUGCGACCUCGAUGUUGGACUAAGAUAUCCUGGAGGUGUAGAAGUCUCUAAUGGUUGGUCUGUUCGACCAUUAAAAUCUU
RNAcentral lists this ribosomal RNA (567 nucleotides) under Gaza aff. polychoronos SW-2012. RNAcentral's name for it is "partial 16S ribosomal RNA". It matches the Rfam family "Bacterial large subunit ribosomal RNA", at positions 1816 to 2597 of the family's 2925-position model. Lineage: Eukaryota; Metazoa; Mollusca; Gastropoda; Trochida; Margaritidae. The record is from RNAcentral.